GCAAGUCGAGGGGUAACAUAAAUGCUUGCACUUUGAUGACGACCGGAGCACGGGUGCGCACCGCGUAUGGAACCUACCUUUUACAGGGGAAUAGUUUUUGGAAACGAAGAUUAAUGCCCCAUGGUACCUUCAGUAGCAUUGCUGGACGGUUAAGGGCUUGGGCCGGUAGAAGAUGGUCAUGCGUCCCAUUAGCUUGAUGGUAAGGUAACGGCUUACCAUGGCAACGAUGGGUAGGGGCCCUGAGAGGGGGAUC
Molecule: ribosomal RNA, 253 nt
Filed under: uncultured bacterium
Lineage: Bacteria
Description: partial 16S ribosomal RNA
Rfam family: Bacterial small subunit ribosomal RNA
Source: RNAcentral